This 7603-nucleotide long non-coding RNA is filed under the name Homo sapiens (human). RNAcentral's name for it is "HSALNT0237369". The record is from RNAcentral. Lineage: Eukaryota; Metazoa; Chordata; Mammalia; Primates; Hominidae.
CUUCCUUCCUUCUGUUCCUACCCCACUCCUUCCCUCCCUUCUCCCCUCCACUCCUUCCUCCUUCCUUUCUUUUUUCCUUUUUUCUUUUCUUUCUUAUUGAAUUCCGUUGAAGAGCCAGGUACUGGGCUAAACAUUUCAAUAGUGGACAAGAUCAUCUUGGUUUCUGCCCUCACAGAAUUUACAAACCAAUGGGAGAGACAGUAAAAAAACUGGGCACGUGGUAAGCCCUAUGCUAGGGAAGCAAUCGCGUGGUGUGGGGCACGCAGAAGAGGUACCUCACCCAGGCUUGGGGAUGUCUUAAGUGGCUCUGGGCUAUUGGAGUGGCAAAGUCUACGGCCUGCAGUGGCCAGGAAGAAGGGCCAGUGUCUGGAGAUGUUUCAGCUGGAAAGAUGGCCAAGCUCGAAUAAGCAGAUUUAUAUAAAUCUCAUUGUUUCCAUAUUAAUAAAAUGAGCCGCUGGGCACAGUGGCUCAUGCCUGUAAUCCCAGCACUUUGGGAGGCCAAGAUGGAUGGAUCAUGAGGUCAGGAGUUCAAGACCAGCCUGGCCAAGAUGGUGAAACCCCGUCUCAACUAAAAAUACAAAAAUUAGCUGGGCAUGGUGGUGGACGCCUGUAAUCCCAGCUACUUGGCAGCCUGAGGCAGGAGAAUCGCUUGUACUCGGGAGUUGGAGAUUGCAGCAAGCCGAGAUCACACCACUGCACUCCAGCCUGGGCGACAGAGUGAGACUCCAUCUCAGGAAAAAAAAAAAAUGAGCCGGGAUCUUUGAUGACUUUAUAUUUUACAUGGAGGCUGUUAUUAUGAUGCAAGGACUUGUUCUUUCGGCUCUAAGACCAGAAGGAAAAUAAAAUGGGAUAGUAUAUUAAAAUGCAAUGUGGGACAAAGCAGUGCUAUAUGUGACCAGUGAAAAUGUUUGCAGUUCUUUCUCUAUAAGAAGAUGAUUUUGCAUCCCAUAUUUGCUAAUACUGCACUCCACUGAGCCCAAUGAGAAGUUAUCAAUACUUUAUCAUAUGAAAGCGUGUUGAAAUUUCUCAUAUAUUGUCUGGUUCAGCCUUCAAAGCAGCCAUGUCAGGUUAAGCAGGGCAGUUAUGAUUUCUAUUUUUCAAAUGGUUCAGUGGCAUGUGUAGUGCACACAGAUAGUAAUGGGAACAGCUGCAUAUUCACACCUCCGUGGAAGUUUCCACGCCACACUGGGUGUCCUUUCACAUAAUUCCCCUCUGUUAUCAGCAUAAUCCAGAAAUGCCACAAAGUAACAUCCAUAACCCCCAAGCAACAUGAAAACGACAGCUACUGCUAAAAUCCAUUUGCAUUAAACCAGCACUAACAUGAAAUCCACACAUUUGAUUUUUUUUUCUUCAUGUCCCAGUGGAUAUCUCAGAAUAACAGGGCACUUCUGAUCUGGUUUCUAUGAAUUUCUUAUGAGCUACAACUGUGCUAUUCAAAGUGUGGUCCACAGAUCAGCAGCAGCAGCGUCACCUGGGACUGUGUCUGAAUGCAGAAGCUCAGGCUCCAGCCCAGACCCACUGAAUACAGAGCCUGUGUUUUCACGACAGCCCCGCAUGAUUCAUACGCAUGUAGUGAGUUGAGAGCCGCCGCGUCUACAACUCAUGCUUUCGCUCAGCCCUGCCUGUUGUAGGUAGUGAGUUUGUGGUUUAAAUCUAAGAAGAGGGGAGGAGAAGCGCACAGGCGGGACAUACCUGCGUGCUCACUUUCAGUAGGGACUGGAGGAGAAGACAGUUUGGAGACAGGGAAAAACCGUGGAAGACAGAACCUGGAGAAGAGUUGGGAACCUCAGAGGAGGUUGCAAAUAGCUGUCUGUGGACAUCUGGUUUGUGGUCUCAAGGAAACAGAGACAAUAUUGAUUUUUGAAACAAGAGGGGCUCCAAGUGCCUGUUAUUCGGGAGCACUUUGAGAAACACUGCAGGGCUCCUGAAGGAGGACAGAGUCAGGCUAACCAUCUCUAGAUGCAGUGACCUGCCAAAUGGGCUGUUGGGCUGGAAGAAAUGCAGAUUGCUUAUUGCUUCCAUUUAUCCCCGGGCUCCUCUCCUGUCAUCCUCCUUUCUCGGCUUCUGCAGUCCCAGCUCUGGGCAUGAGACUUACGGCUCCCUCGAUCCAGCAUCAGGACCUCCCCUCUAGUUGUACUAACUUGGCUCCCUCUUGAAGCUCAGAAUUUAUGCAACCAAAGCCCAGAUUCCUUCACUGGUGGGUCUGAAACCAACCCCCUCCUCUCCUGCUCUGCUCUUCCUGGCCUGCAUCUUCGCUUUGCAGGAGGUGCCAGACGUCAAAUUGCCCCACAUUCUGUGGCUUCGGGACCCAGGCAAACGUCCAUGAAGGAGAAACUUGUAACCACUGGGACGCGGGAUGAAUGCAGGGCCCUGGACUCUGUUGUGGGCAAAUACGUUGAGCGAUUUGAAAUGACUCUCCCGGGAGCUGGUUGUCAAAUUUUUGGUGUGUUCAGGAAAUGUCUGCCACAUUUUACAUCAACAUUUUCAAACGCUGCUUAAAACUCUACUCAAAUCCAACUUCCUCCCUGAAGCCGUCUGCCCAGCGGGGAUCAAUGUCUCCUUCUAGCUCCUGGUACAACUUCUGCAGUUAUAUUAUGUGAGGUUCUGCUUUCUCAUAUGCUGACUGCUGGCUUAGACACAUUCUCUUCGUUCAUCUUCCCACCACACCUGCACAAGAAGAAAUGGGAGCUCAGCUCCAUCAGCCUGCUGGAGGUCAGGCAGCUAUGACGGGGCAGGAGCAGUAUUUGAACUCAGGACUAUGUGCUCCGAAGCCUGUUCUUGUCUCUGUAUUAAUGGUUCUCAAAGUGUGGUCCUUGGACCAGCGGUAUCACCUGGGAACUUGUUAAAAAUAUAAGUUAUCAGGCCCUACUCCAGACGUAUGGAAACAAAAACUUCGUGGUUGAGGCCCAGAAAUCUGUAUUUUAACAGGCCCCUUGGGGAUUCUGGUGCAUGCUUAAGUUUGAGAACCACUCUUCCAUACCCAGCUUGCUUCUGAUGUAUGGUUCUGUGAUAUGUGUUAUCUUGGUCACUAGACUGUAAGCUACCUGAGGGCAGGACUUCUGCCUUAUUCACUUGGGAGCAAGACACUAUACUAGGUGCUGCUGUGGAAAUGUAACAAGAGUAACAGCGGACAUUUAUUGAGCUCUUCACGCCACAUGGCAUGCUAAACCUUCAUGUGGUUUAUAUUAUUGAAUUCUCAGAAUAACCCCUUGAGGUCAGCACUAUUAUUAUCUGCCGUUUACAGAUCAGGACACUGAAACUCAAGUGGGUGAAGCAGCUUGCUUAAAAUCCAAUGCCAUGCAUGAGGAAGCUGGGAUGUGAACCCAGAGGUUCUGACUCCAGAGCCCGUGCUCUUACCCAGCAGGCUGCCCUGUUCAGUGCAUGCUUCCCGAAUUGACUAUAACCAUCUGACCUCUUCCAUGCAUCACGUGAAGAAAAAGUCUCAACUGUAAAUAAGGGGAGAAAUGUACACAGAGCAGCUUGCGAGGAUAGAGAGGGCUUGGAUGUCUUUCUGAAAGGAAGCCAUCAUUUUCUUUCUUUUCUCUAGAGACAGGGUCUCGUUUCAUCACCCAGGCUGGAGUGCAGUGGUGCAAUCAUGGCUCACUGCAGCCUUGAACUCCUGGGCUCAAGCAAUCCUCCUGCCUCAGCCUCCCAAGUAGCUGGGACUGCAGGUGUAUGCCACCAUGCCCAGCUAAUUUUUUUUUGUUGUUUUUGUGGUGGGGUCUUGCUGUGUUGCCUAGACUGACCUCGAACUCCUGGCCUCAAGCAAUCCUUCUGCCUUGGCUUCCCAAAGUGCUGGGAUUAUAGGCAUGAGCCAUUGAGACUGGCCAGAAGGUAUCCUUUUUUUAGAGAAACUAAAAGCAUUCUCAAGCUCCCUUAAUUUCACUUCUGAUAGAUGAGUUAUCUUGACCUCCUGUUCAGGAUAGGGCCAAAUCUACUCAGUCCUGUUGUAUCCAGGGUACUUAAAUGUCUUGAAUUCCUGCACCAGAAGGUACAGUCUUCUGGGGAGUCACAGUAGGGGGUGAGGGGGCACAGGGGAGAGGAGGGUCUACAGGUUAGGACUCCAGCAGUGAUGCUUGAAUUUGAAUCAUGAUUGUGCUGCUUGAAAUCAAUGUCAUUUUAGAUAUAAGCUGCUUACACUUUCUGGAACUCGGUUUCUUCAACUGUAAAAUGGAAAUAAUGAUAAUAGCUGUUUUAUUUGUGCUGAGCAGGAAUGAGACUGUGGCUGGGAGAAUGCUUUAUAAAUCAAAAGGGAUGUCUGGAAAGUUCAGUGUUCUUUCCUGGACCAUUGGGAGUUGCAGCGUAGGGAGGUAUUGAGGAGGUGCCCACCAGUCUUGAUUUCUAACCUGAGAUUCUUUUUUUGUUUUGAGCUGGAGUUUCACUCUUGUUGUCCACAAUGGAGUACAGUGACACGGUCUCAGCUCACUGCAAUCUCCCGGGUUCAAGGAUUCUCUUGCUUCGGCCUCCCGAGUAGCUGGGAUUACAGGCACCCCCCACCACACCCAGCUAAUUUUUGUACUUUUAGUAGAGACGGGGUUUCACCAUGUUGGUCAGGCUGGUCUCAAACUCCUGACCUCAGGGGAUCCACCCACCUCAGCCUCCCAAAGUGCUGGGAUUACAGGCGUGAGCCACCAUGCCUGGCCCAACCUGAGAUUCUUUUCUGCCAGACUUCCUUCCUUAGAACACAAACAUGUGAUUUCUCAGUGCUUGCCAGAGAUGCAGACCUGUUCCUCUGAGGCUGGAAAUGACUUCACGGUACUUUUCAAACAGUAAUUAUCUACAGAAAAGCGCCCUGAGACCCUCGGAGACCAGGAGCCGAGAACCCCUUAUAAGGACACGAUGCUGUUUCUCAUCCCAACCCUCAAGAUAAGGGCGUUUCUCUGCCUGGAUUUGUAGAAUCCAAUUUGGAUGCCUGGAUUCUGGGUUUCCCCCAUGGAACAGACUCCUUCCCCCUCCUUCUCACCCAUCCCUCUUCAGGCACCAAAGCCCCUUCCAAAAUGUCUUCACCUUUCACAUGACACCAGCACUCAAAUCCACCAUUCCAAAUAAAUGAGAAAGAAACCCCUUUCCGCCAGGUUUUGCUUGUGCCCCGGCAACCCAAAGCUAGGAUACAGUUUCAUGGCAGGGCACAUGUGUGUGUAAUUGCUACCUGAGAGGAAGACCAGGAGAGCCUGCUCGAAAUGGGGUGUUAAUGAUAAGCACCACAAGAUUUGUUACUGUAGUGAAGCCCCAUCUGGAUGGACUACAUUAAGUUGCUUUUUAAUGUGGCCCUUUGAUGUGGCCCUUCAUAGAGUCCCUCCAGUGCUUGUUAGUUAGGGAGCAUCCCACGAUAGAAAAAAAAGCAAGAACAAAACCAUAAACGAGAACAAGAACCACCCCUUUUGCUCAGCUGAAACACUACAAUCAUGCUAGUUUACCCACCUGUCAGCUUCUUUCAGACCUGUGACCACAUCUAGGGAUAGGCUUCCUUAGAGGAAAGGAACUUGAAACUGUGUUUCUGGAUGCAUUGUUUUAAGCAUCAAUUAUUUUUUUUUUUUUUUUUUGAGAUGGAGUCUUGCUCUGUCGCCCAGGCUGUGGCACGAUCUCCGCUCACUGCAAGCUCUGCCUCCCAGGUUCACGCCAAUCUCCUGCCUCAGCCUCCUGAGUAGCUGGGACUACAGGCGCCCACCACCACACCCAGCUAAUUUUUUGUAGUUUUAGUAGAGACGGGGUUUCACCAUGUUAGCCAGGAUGGUCUCGAUCUGCUGAGCUCAUGAUCCGCCCGCCUCAGCCUCCCAAAGUGCUGGGAUUAUAGGCCUGAGCCACCAAGCCCGGCCCUUAAAUAUCAACUAUUGAGCAGUUAAUGAGGAAUCGGAAUAUCUAGCAUUUAGUCAGAAAUGUGAGGUUUGGAAAAGACUAACUUGAACAAAUUUCAGGAAGAUUUAUGAGUAGUAGCUUUUCCAUCUGUAAAAUAGGCUUCAUAAUACCUGUCCAAUCUCAUUUUAUCCUUCCAAAAAUGCUGGGCAUGGUGGCUCAUAUCUGUAAUCUCAGCACUUGGGGAGGCUGAGGUGAGAGGAUUGCUUGAGUCCAGGAGUUCAAGACCAGCCUGGGCAAUAUAGUAAUACUCUGUCUCUACACAAAAUUAAAAUGUUUUUCAGGCAUGGGGUGCACACCUCUAGUCCCAACUACUCAGGAGGCUAAAGUGAGAGGAUCACUAGAGCCCAGGAGGUUGAGGCUGCAGUGAGCUGUGAUGGUACCACUGCACUCCAGCCUGGGUGACAGAGCCAGACCCUGUCUCAAAAAAACAAAAACAAAAACAAACAAACAAACAAAAAGGGAAAGUAACCCAAAAGAAAAUAAAAGAAGAAAACUCUUUGAGGUGAUAUAUCCAUAGAAUGAUAGCAUUGAAAGAAACCAUAGUUAGAGUUUAGGUCCAACCACCUCAUUUUCUGAACCAGAAGACAGAAUCGCAAAAAAAACCAGAGCAUCCUGCCUGAGGACACAGAAUUGCUGAGUAGUAGGAGGAAGAAGAACCCAGAUUUUCCAGCUUUGAGAAGGAUGGUGGUUAGUUAGAAUUUUGGCUAAAACAGAGCCUUGCUAAUUCCUAAUCUCUCCUCUGCAAAUGACUUCAGUCUCAUUUUCCUAAGCAGCAGAGCCAUUUGGCUGGCACAAAGUGUGGCUGUGGCCCUGGCAUUCUCCACGGAAUGAGAAAUUUAUCCCACUUCUGUUCUCAUCCUACGUGCCAAGCAAACAAACCAUCUUGUUGACUGCAGACAUGGCCUCGGGAAUCCUAGCCAGCCAGAAAAACCAUUCCGUCUCUCUUGAUGAGGAAACCAGUGCUUGGAAUUCAAUAGAUGUAAUUUAAAUAGGCUGAAUCCAAAUAAAAUUCUACAUUUUCUUAGCUAUGACAUCUUACUUACUUUUUCUUUUAUGAAGACAUGCUGUAGAGUGAAUGUAUAUGUCCUCCUGAAAUUCACAUGUUAAACCUUAAUGCCCAAGAUGAUGGUGUUUGGAGGUGGGACUUUUAGGAGUAAAUUAGGUCAUGAGGAUGGAGCCCCUCAUGAAAAAAAUUAAUGUCCUUGUAGAAGAGGAUUGAAGGAGCUCACUCUUCCCUUCCACCAUGUGAAGACAAGCAAGAAGAUGGCCAUCUAUAAGAAGUGGGCAGUCCCCAACCACCAGAUCUGUCCAUGUCUUGAUCUUGGACUUCCCAGCCUCCAGCACUGUGAGAAAUAAAUGUUUAUCAUUUAUAAGUUACCCAGUGUAUGGUAUUUUUGUUACAGCAGCCCAAACAGACUAAGGCAAAACAGGACAAUUAGCUUGAUAAAACAGGGAAUAGUUGGAGCCUUCCAUUGUGGUUGGGACCUGUUUGAGUGUCUGCGUUCCUGUCAGAGAAAUGAUAGUUUUAAUCGUGUAGUCCUCCCAAAAAAGUAAAAUUGCGGGUCCAACUUUGGAAUUUACUUCAGCCAACUGACGUUGCACAAAUAAAUAAAUUUUCUUUCUCUCAUUUAAAAGCAAAAAGAGAUUUCUAGAAUGUUUGCGGUGUGUGGCAAAUGGGAGAUGUUAAUGUUUUCUAAAUGCUCUCAAGAAAGACCCGAUGUUCAUUGGUGUUCAUCUAUAUUCUGAG